Molecule: ribosomal RNA, 460 nt
Filed under: uncultured bacterium
Lineage: Bacteria
Description: partial 16S ribosomal RNA
Rfam family: Bacterial small subunit ribosomal RNA
Source: RNAcentral
CCUACGGGGCGCUGCAGUGAGGAAUAUUGGUCAAUGGGCUUACGCCUGAACCAGCCAAGUCGCGUGAGGGAAGACUGCCCUAUGGGUUGUAAACCUCUUUUGUCAGGGAGCAACGCCGGCUACGUGUAGCCGGACUGAGAGUACCUGAAGAAAAAGCAUCGGCUAACUCCGUGCCAGCAGCCGCGGUAAUACGGAGGAUGCGAGCGUUAUCCGGAUUUAUUGGGUUUAAAGGGUGCGUAGGCGGAAUGCCAAGUCAGCGGUAAAAUCGCGGGGCUCAACCUCGCUCCGCCGUUGAAACUGGCGUGCUUGAGUGGGCGAGAAGUAUGCGGAAUGCGUGGUGUAGCGGUGAAAUGCAUAGAUAUCACGCAGAACUCCGAUUGCGAAGGCAGCAUACCGGCGCCCAACUGACGCUGAAGCACGAAAGCGUGGGUAUCGAACAGGAUUAGAUACCCUUGUAGUC